RNAcentral lists this ribosomal RNA (750 nucleotides) under Dermacentor marginatus. Its description in RNAcentral is "SSU rRNA". It matches the Rfam family "Eukaryotic small subunit ribosomal RNA", at positions 140 to 885 of the family's 1831-position model. Lineage: Eukaryota; Metazoa; Arthropoda; Arachnida; Ixodida; Ixodidae. The record is from RNAcentral.
UGGAUAACUGUGGCAAUUCUAGAGCUAAUACAUGCAGUGAGCCUGAAGCCCUUUGGGCGACGGGUGCUUUUAUUAGACCAAGAUCGAUCGGGUUUCGGCCCGUAUUGUGUGGUGACUCUGGAUAACUUUGUGCUGAUCGCAUGGCCACGAGCCGGCGACGUUUCUUUCAAGUGUCUGCCUUAUCAACUUUCGAUGGUAGGUUACUUGCUUACCAUGGUUGUUACGGGUAACGGAGAAUCAGGGUUCGAUUCCGGAGAGGGAGCCUGAGAAACGGCUACCACAUCCAAGGAAGGCAGCAGGCGCGCAAAUUACCCACUCCCGGCACGGGGAGGUAGUGACGAAAAAUAACAAUACGGGACUCUUUUGAGGCCCCGUAAUUGAAAUGAGUACACUCUAAAUCCUUUAACGAGGAUCAAUUGGAGGGCAAGUCUGGUGCCAGCAGCCGCGGUAAUUCCAGCUCCAAUAGCGUAUACUAAAGCUGCUGCGGUUAAAAAGCUCGUAGUUGGAUCUCAGUUCCAGACGAGUAGUGCAUCUACCCGAUGCGACGGCUCGGACUGAACAUCAUGCCGGUCCUUUCUUGGUGCACUUCAUUGUGUGCCUCGAGAAGGCCGGUGCUUUUACUUUGAAAAAAUUAGAGUGCUCAACGCAGGCGAGUCGCCUGAAUAAACUUGCAUGGAAUAAUAGAACAAGACCUCGUUUCUGUUCUGUUGGUUUUUGGAAUACGAGGUAAUGAUUAAGAGGGACAGACGG